AGAGGUGAAAGCCUGGAGCUCAACUCCAGAAUUGCCUUUAAGACUGCAUCGCUCGAAUCCAGGAGAGGUGAGUGGAAUUCCGAGUGUAGAGGUGAAAUUCGUAGAUAUUCGGAAGAACACCAGAGGCGAAGGCGGCUCAUGGACUGGUAUUGACGCUGAGGUGCGAAAGCGUGGGGACCAAACAGGAUUAGAUAGCCUGUAGUCCCACGCCGUAAACGAUGGAUAACUAGCUGUCAGGGUUCACAGAACUUUUGGUGGCGCAGCUUAACGCAUUAAGUUUAUCCGCCUGGGGAGUACGGUCGCAAGAUUAAAACUCAAAGGAAUUGACGGGGGCCUGCACAAGCGGUGGAGCAUGUGGUUUAAUUCGAAGCAACGCGCAGAACCUUACCAGCGGUUGACAUGCCUAGUAUGGUUUCCAGAGAUGGAUUCCUUCAGUUCGGCUGGCUAGUGCACAGGUGCUGCAUGGCUGUCGUCAGCUCGUGUCGUGAGAUGUUGGGUUAAGUCCCGCAACGAGCGCAACCCUCGUCUUUAGUUACCAUCAUUUAGUUGGGUACUCUAAAGAAACCGCCGGUGAUAAGCCGGAGGAAGGUGGGGAUGACGUCAAGUCCUCAUGGCCCUUACGCGCUGGGCUACACACGUGCUACAAUGGCGACUACAGUGGGCUGCAAUCCCGCGAGGGUGAGCUAAUCUCCAAAAGUCGUCUCAGUUCGGAUUGUUCUCUGCAACUCGAGAGCAUGA
Molecule: ribosomal RNA, 738 nt
Filed under: uncultured Sphingomonadaceae bacterium
Lineage: Bacteria; Pseudomonadati; Pseudomonadota; Alphaproteobacteria; Sphingomonadales; Sphingomonadaceae
Description: bacterial SSU rRNA
Rfam family: Bacterial small subunit ribosomal RNA
Source: RNAcentral